UUGUUCUCCUGCCUCCUGCAGUAAGCAGCUCAGCCCAUGAAAUAGCCCACCAUCCCUACCAGAAGUAUGAAGAAACUGCAAAAUGAACCAAUUUCAAGGCUACCUCCAUGCAGCAAAAGCACCCCCCGCCCCACCCCAUCUUGACUUCUGAGAGAGCAACAUGCUUGGUUUCGUUUUCAUCAGUGGUGAAUGAAGCACGGUCACUUACACUGAAUCAACAGUCAGCCACACCACAAGUUUGAAGUGUGCAGGCCCUACUUGUAAAAUGAAUGUAAUACUACACUUAUCAAGAACAAAGGAGUAACCAGAACAGACUCUGGUAUAAGUGGCUAGAAAAUGCUUUUCUUUAUAAGAACCUCUGUCAUUAUUUGUAAGUACCCCACUUCACAUAUUACUAUCAAUAUUGAAUGCACUGAUAGGUAAAAUAAUGGCUAGUGUUACGAAGUAAGCCAGAACCUCUUUCUUUUACAUAAUCUAAAUAUGCCUUUGCUGUAGGAGCUUAAAUUUAAAGAUAGAUCACAGAAAGAAAAGAAAUCAAACAUACACUACACCACACA
Long non-coding RNA from Phyllostomus discolor (pale spear-nosed bat), 557 nucleotides. RefSeq lists it as uncharacterized. NCBI's taxonomy places the organism in Eukaryota, Metazoa, Chordata, Mammalia, Chiroptera, Phyllostomidae. The transcript is spliced from 2 exons. The record is from RefSeq and is a predicted model, not a curated record.